This 484-nucleotide ribosomal RNA is filed under the name uncultured bacterium. RNAcentral's name for it is "partial 16S ribosomal RNA". It matches the Rfam family "Bacterial small subunit ribosomal RNA", at positions 30 to 507 of the family's 1533-position model. The record is from RNAcentral.
AGUGAACGCUGGCGGCAGGCCUAACACAUGCAAGUCGAGCGGCAGCGGGUCCUUCGGGAUGCCGGCUAGCGGCGGACGGGUGAGGAAUACAUCGGAAUCUGCCCUGUCGUGGGGGAUAACCUAGGGAAACUUAGGCUAAUACCGCAUACGACCUACGGGUGAAAGCGGGGGAUCGCAAGACCUCGCGCGACAGGAUGAGCCGAUGUCCGAUUAGCUAGUUGUCGGGGUAAAGGCCCACCAAGGCGACGAUCGGUAGCUGGUCGGAGAGGAUGAUCAGCCACACUGGGACUGAGACACGGCCAAGACUCCUACGGGAGGCAGCAGUGGGGAAUAUUGGACAAUGGGCGCAAGCAUGAUCCAGCCAUGCCGCGUGGGUGAAGAAGGCCUUCGGGUUGUAAAGCCCUUUUGUCCGGGAAGAACUCGUCUGGGCUAAUACCCCGGGCGGAUGACGGUACCGGAAGAAUAAGCACCGGCUAACUUCGUG